GGGAUGCCUCAGUAACGGCGAGUGAAGCGGCAAAGCUCAAAUUUGAAAUCUGGCCCCGUCAGGAGCCCGAGUUGUAAUUUGGAGAGGACACUUCGGGUGUGGCUGCGGCGUAAGUCCCUUGGAACAGGGCGUCAUAGAGGGUGAGAGUCCCGUCUUGCGCUGCCGGACCAUGCCCAUGCGAAGUUCCUUCGACGAGUCGAGUUGUUUGGGAAUGCAGCUCUAAGUGGGUGGUAAAUUUCAUCUAAAGCUAAAUAUUGGCCAGAGACCGAUAGCGAACAAGUAGAGUGAUCGAAAGGUUAAAAGCACCUUGAAAAGGGAGUUAAAUAGCACGUGAAAUUGUUGAAAGGGAAGCGCUUGCAACCAGACUCGACCGCAGGGGCUCAGCCAGCAUGUUUGCCGGUGUACUCCCCUGUGUUCGGGCCAGCAUCAGUUCUGGCGGCGGGUCAAAGGCCCCUGGAAUGUAUCGUCCUCCGGGACGUCUUAUAGCCAGGGGUGCAAUGCCGCCAGCCAGGACUGAGGAACGCGCUUCGGCACGGAUGCUGGCAUAAUGGUUGUAAGCGGCCCGUCUUGAAACAC
RNAcentral lists this ribosomal RNA (576 nucleotides) under Keratinophyton wagneri. Its description in RNAcentral is "Keratinophyton sp. AB-2019d partial large subunit ribosomal RNA". It matches the Rfam family "Eukaryotic large subunit ribosomal RNA", at positions 71 to 662 of the family's 3401-position model. The record is from RNAcentral. Lineage: Eukaryota; Fungi; Ascomycota; Eurotiomycetes; Onygenales; Onygenaceae.